ACUUUAUCGAAAUUUUAAUUCCUUCAGUUUCAUUAAGGGUGGGCAGUUCGGGCUGGUGGCAGGUUGGGCAGUUGCGAGUGUCUGUGUGAUGGUGAGGAAAGCGGAAGUUACGAAUGGAAUGCAGGUAGCUUAGGACCGAGGCAGACAGCUUAGGACUGAGGCAGACAGCUUAGAACUGAGGCAGACAGCUUAGGAUUGAGGCAGGUAGGCAGUUGGUAGGAAUCAGUGGGGGGCACUUGUCAUUUUCGGCCAUGGGAUUCAAAUUUGCAUGCCAAGUAUUUGUUACUAACGUUUGCUGUUUUACAUAUUUGCUAGGUAUGCGCGUGGCUGCUCUCUAGAGAAGAUCAAUUUAGCAAUUUGCAUUAGCAUUUGCAAGGUUGGUCUUCUCUUCGCCCCGCUACCCCGGCUGGCUCUCCGAGUGCUACCUCUACUUUAAGUAGAAGUACUUCUACUAUAUAUGUUGAAGUGCUUCUGCUUGAAGUAGAGGUAGCACUUGGGGAGCCGGCCGGGGUAGGGGGAUUUUUUUUAUUUAUUUUUUCAAUUCCCAUGGGAAUUGAACUUUUAAUUAAAAAGGAGUCACUUGUAUAAUUAAUGAACAAUUUAUUGAAAAGAACUUGUAAAUUUUACAAUUUGAAUAACAAUAAAAAGAGAACAACCACUGCAUUACUGUACUUAUUUAAAUAACAAUAGAAGAAAACAGGACAUGGCACAAAGAGAACAAUUAACAUUGUGUUCAACACAAGUGAAUAAACACAACAUUAAAAAUACAUUGUUUGCCCGCGAAUUAACAUUAAAAACGUCAACUCUUGGGGAAACAAGAAGAACUUGGUCUUUUCAAGAUAAAUGCUUAUACUUCAAGAUUAAUAAUUAUGAAAUAACUGUAAGUGAUAAAUAUUACGAGUUUAUAGAGUUAUUUCACAAUUACAAAGAAAAUAUAUGGCUCAAAAUGAGAAAAAUAAAGUAAACCGAACAUG
This is a non-coding RNA of Paramuricea clavata, 974 nucleotides long. The record is from the annotation of a GenBank genome assembly. NCBI's taxonomy places the organism in Eukaryota, Metazoa, Cnidaria, Anthozoa, Malacalcyonacea, Plexauridae.